Molecule: ribosomal RNA, 450 nt
Filed under: uncultured bacterium
Lineage: Bacteria
Description: partial 16S ribosomal RNA
Rfam family: Bacterial small subunit ribosomal RNA
Source: RNAcentral
GUGGGGAAUUUUGGACAAUGGGCGCAAGCCUGAUCCAGCAAUGCCGCGUGCAGGAAGAAGGCCUUCGGGUUGUAAACUGCUUUUGUACGGAACGAAACGGUCCUGGCUAAUAUCCGGGGCUAAUGACGGUACCGUAAGAAUAAGCACCGGCUAACUACGUGCCAGCAGCCGCGGUAAUACGUAGGGUGCGAGCGUUAAUCGGAAUUACUGGGCGUAAAGCGUGCGCAGGCGGUGCUGUAAGACAGGCGUGAAAUCCCCGGGCUCAACCUGGGAAUUGCGCUUGUGACUGCAGUGCUGGAGUGCGGCAGAGGUGGAUGGAAUUCCGCGUGUAGCAGUGAAAUGCGUAGAUAUGCGGAGGAACACCGAUGGCGAAGGCAAUCCCCUGGGCCUGCACUGACGCUCAUGCACGAAAGCGUGGGGAGCAAACAGGAUUAGAAACCCUGGUAGUCC